This 484-nucleotide ribosomal RNA is filed under the name uncultured bacterium. RNAcentral's name for it is "partial 16S ribosomal RNA". It matches the Rfam family "Bacterial small subunit ribosomal RNA", at positions 30 to 507 of the family's 1533-position model. The record is from RNAcentral.
AUUGAACGCUGGCGGCAGGCCUAACACAUGCAAGUCGAGCGGAUGAAGGGAGCUUGCUCCUGGAUUCAGCGGCGGACGGGUGAGUAAUGCCUAGGAAUCUGCCUGGUAGUGGGGGAUAACGUCCGGAAACGGGCGCUAAUACCGCAUACGUCCUGAGGGAGAAAGUGGGGGAUCUUCGGACCUCACGCUACCAGAUGAGCCUAGGUCGGAUUAGCUAGUUGGUGGGGUAAAGGCCUACCAAGGCGACGAUCCGUAACUGGUCUGAGAGGAUGAUCAGUCACACUGGGACUGAGACACGGUCCAGACUCCUACGGGAGGCAGCAGUGGGGAAUAUUGGACAAUGGGCGAAAGCCUGAUCCAGCCAUGCCGCGUGUGUGAAGAAGGUCUUCGGAUUGUAAAGCACUUUAAGUUGGGAGGAAGGGCAGUAAGUUAAUACCUUGCUGUUUUGACGUUACCAACAGAAUAAGCACCGGCUAACUUCGUG